GAUGAACGCUAGCGGCAGGCUUAAUACAUGCAAGUCGAGGGGCAGCAGGUCCCGCAGCAAUGCGGGAUGCUGGCGACCGGCAAACGGGUGCGGAACACGUACACAACCUUCCUUUAAGCGGGGAAUAGCCCGGGGAAACCCGGAUUAAUACUCCAUAGUAUAUUGAAAAGGCAUCUUUUUAAUAUUAAAGAUUUAUCACUUAAAGAUGGGUGUGCGGCUGAUUAGGUAGUUGGCGGGGAACGGCCCACCAAGCCUACGAUCAGUAACUGGUGUGAGAGCACGACCAGUCACACGGGCACUGAGACACGGGCCCGACUCCUACGGGAGGCAGCAGUAAGGAAUAUUGGUCAAUGGAACGAAAGUCUGAACCACGCCAUGCCGCGUGGAGGAU
RNAcentral lists this ribosomal RNA (391 nucleotides) under uncultured bacterium. RNAcentral describes it as "bacterial SSU rRNA". It matches the Rfam family "Bacterial small subunit ribosomal RNA", at positions 28 to 409 of the family's 1533-position model. The record is from RNAcentral.